This 248-nucleotide ribosomal RNA is filed under the name uncultured Lachnospiraceae bacterium. Its description in RNAcentral is "partial 16S ribosomal RNA". It matches the Rfam family "Bacterial small subunit ribosomal RNA", at positions 524 to 772 of the family's 1533-position model. Lineage: Bacteria; Bacillati; Bacillota; Clostridia; Lachnospirales; Lachnospiraceae. The record is from RNAcentral.
UACGUAGGGAGCAAGCGUUAUCCGGAAUGAUUGGGCGUAAAGCGUGUGUAGGCGGUUUAUUAAGUCUAAGAUCAAAGCCCGAGGCUUAACCUCGGUUCGUUUUAGAAACUGGUAGACUUGAGUGUGGUAGAGGCAAGUGGAAUUUCUAGUGUAGCGGUUAAAUGCGUAGAUAUUAGAAGGAACACCAGUGGCGAAGGCGGCUUGCUGGGCCAUUACUGACGCUGAGACACGAAAGCGUGGGGAGCAAA